GUGGGGAAUCUUGCGCAAUGGACGAAAGUCUGACGCAGCGACGCCGCGUGGGUGAUGAAGGCCUUCGGGUUGUAAAGCCCUGUGGGGAGGGACGAAUGAGCGCCGGCCAAUACCCGGCGUGAUGACGGUACCUCCUUAGCAAGCACCGGCUAACUCUGUGCCAGCAGCCGCGGUAAGACAGAGGGUGCAAACGUUGUUCGGAAUUACUGGGCGUAAAGCGCGUGUAGGCGGCUGCGCAAGUCGGAUGUGAAAGCCCUCGGCUCAACUGGGGAAGUGCACCCGAAACUGCGUGGCUCGAGUCUCGGAGAGGAUCGUGGAAUUCUCGGUGUAGAGGUGAAAUUCGUAGAUAUCGAGAGGAACACCGGUGGCGAAGGCGGCGAUCUGGACGAAGACUGACGCUGAGACGCGAAAGCGUGGGGAGCAAACAGGAUUAGAAACCCUUGUAGUCC
RNAcentral lists this ribosomal RNA (449 nucleotides) under uncultured bacterium. RNAcentral describes it as "bacterial SSU rRNA". It matches the Rfam family "Bacterial small subunit ribosomal RNA", at positions 354 to 796 of the family's 1533-position model. The record is from RNAcentral.